UGGGGAAUAUUGCACAAUGGGGGAAACCCUGAUGCAGCGACGCCGCGUGAGCGAAGAAGUAUUUCGGUAUGUAAAGCUCUAUCAGCAGGGAAGAAAAUGACGGUACCUGACUAAGAAGCUCCGGCUAAAUACGUGCCAGCAGCCGCGGUAAUACGUAUGGAGCAAGCGUUAUCCGGAUUUACUGGGUGUAAAGGGAGCGUAGGCGGCGGGGCAAGUCUGAUGUGAAAACCCGGGGCUCAACCCCGGGACUGCAUUGGAAACUGUCCUGCUAGAGUGUCGGAGGGGUAAGUGGAAUUCCUAGUGUAGCGGUGAAAUGCGUAGAUAUUAGGAGGAACACCGGUGGCGAAGGCGGCUUACUGGACGACAACUGACGCUGAGGCUCGAAAGCGUGGGGAGCAAACA
Molecule: ribosomal RNA, 402 nt
Filed under: uncultured bacterium
Lineage: Bacteria
Also listed under: 1 other name
Description: bacterial SSU rRNA
Rfam family: Bacterial small subunit ribosomal RNA
Source: RNAcentral